UNUUCCGCAUGGGCGAAAGCCUGNCGGACGACGCCGCGUGGACGAUGAAGGCCGUAAGGUUGUAAAGUCCUUUUCUCUAUGAGGAAUAAGGGUGGGAGUGGAAAGCCCAUCUGAUGACGGUAAUGGAGGAAUAAGCACCGGCUAACUACGUGCCAGCAGCCGCGGUAAUACGUAGGGUGCGAGCGUUGUUCGGAGUUAUUGGGCGUAAAGGGCGUGUAGGCGGCUUGAGAAGUCUGAUUUGAAAUGCACUGGCUCAACUGGUGCGCUGGGUCAGAAACUUGCAGGCUAGAGUUCAUGGGGAGGAGCUGGAAUUCCAGGUGUAGGGGUGAAAUCUGUAGAGAUCUGGAAGAACACCGGUAGCGAAGGCGGGCUCCUAUGGAUGGACUGACGCUGAGGCGCGAAAGCGUGGGGAGCGAACAGGAUUAGAUACCCUGGUAGUCCACGCUGUAAACGAUGUGCACUAGGUAUGGGGUACGAGAUGUAUUCCGUGUCGGAGCGAACGCGUUAAGUGCACCGCCUGGGGAGUAUGCUCGCAAGGGUGAAACUCAAAAAAAUUGACGGA
RNAcentral lists this ribosomal RNA (562 nucleotides) under uncultured bacterium. RNAcentral's name for it is "bacterial SSU rRNA". It matches the Rfam family "Bacterial small subunit ribosomal RNA", at positions 362 to 917 of the family's 1533-position model. The record is from RNAcentral.